CAUUUUGGAAGCUCAUGUUGGUAAAGAGGUGCCAUAAAGAGGUGCCAUACACAAAUCAAGUGGAGGAACACUGCUCUGUUGUCUUCUCAGCCCUUGUACAUGAGAAACCAAUUCCGUCUUAGGCCACUUAGAUUUCUCUCUUUGUUACUAUAGCGUGACUUAGACCAACUUGACUAACGCAGGAUCAAUACUAAAAUCUGAAUGAUAAGUAUGUUCAUCAAUGUUUCUAUCUCCUUGUGAUGAUUGAACUCAUUUUGAGGAAGUUAUCCAAUAGAUAAUCCAACAGAUGAUAGCUGCAAGCCGAUUCUCAAUAAUCUGCUGCAUUAUUUUAUGUCUGAUUAAUCUUUCCUUAGAAAUAAAGGAGUAAUUUCAACUUUAUUCAAAUUUCGGUUUUUAAGAGCAGUCAAAUACCAAUAGUUUGACUCAAAAAGAAAAACAAUUACAUUCUAAAUCUUUAUAUUAAGUA
This 466-nucleotide long non-coding RNA is filed under the name Bos taurus (domestic cattle). RNAcentral describes it as "long non-coding RNA NONBTAT008278". Lineage: Eukaryota; Metazoa; Chordata; Mammalia; Artiodactyla; Bovidae. The record is from RNAcentral.